Bactrocera oleae (olive fruit fly) is the source of this 172-nucleotide non-coding RNA. The record is from RefSeq and is a predicted model, not a curated record. NCBI's taxonomy places the organism in Eukaryota, Metazoa, Arthropoda, Insecta, Diptera, Tephritidae.
AAGUUAUGUAAUCUUCGACUUUCGAAAAAUAAUCAAAAGACAUUUGUUUAUUGAGUAUAUAGAAAAUAAGUAAUGUUCAUGUGUGGGUUAUUUAAAACUUAUACAUGUUCACAUACAAGUUGUUAAACCAUGGAUAAAAUGAUUGAAAAUUCAUUACUAAACAGAUGACAAG